UAGGAAAUUUUUAAAGUAACAAUUUUAAUCAUGAUAAUCUAAACCUAAUGAAAAUUAUAAAUCAGAGGUAUUAAUUGAUUACUGGGUUUAGACAACCUAGCUGAUACUUUGCCCCCAAAUUGAUUUUGGGCUUUCACAAACUCUGUUGCGCCACUAGGGAGAGUUUCUCUCUUUCUCACGCAUCCAAUCCAACCCAUCUAGGGUCCCUCCUCUCGAACUAGGAAAUACGAGAGCUUUCUUCUCCUUUUUUUUGUUUGUUUUUCCCUCUCGAGCAAGGAAGAUGGUCUGGUGGUGGCGAGAAUCGACAGCGCUACGGAGGCGCGACUCAAGCUCGUUCUCGCCUUCGGUGGCAGUUCGCGGUGGACUUCUAGGGUCCUUCAUUGUGCUGAUGGACCUUCUCCUUUUCCCUUGAACGCGUUGAAGCUCGAAGCUUCUUCCUUUUCUUUUUCCCCUUUCUC
RNAcentral lists this long non-coding RNA (458 nucleotides) under Vigna radiata. RNAcentral describes it as "long non-coding RNA (VRAD_LNC011752)". The record is from RNAcentral. Lineage: Eukaryota; Viridiplantae; Streptophyta; Magnoliopsida; Fabales; Fabaceae.